Ribosomal RNA from Scleropages formosus (Asian bonytongue), 119 nucleotides. NCBI's taxonomy places the organism in Eukaryota, Metazoa, Chordata, Actinopteri, Osteoglossiformes, Osteoglossidae. The record is from Ensembl.
UGUUAUGGCCACAUCACCCUGAAAGCCCCUGAUCUUGUCAGAUCUCAGAAACUAAGCAGCAUUGGGCCUGGCUAGUACUUGUGUGGGAGAUCUCCUAGGAAUCCCAGGUGCUGUAAGCU